Molecule: ribosomal RNA, 492 nt
Filed under: uncultured bacterium
Lineage: Bacteria
Description: partial 16S ribosomal RNA
Rfam family: Bacterial small subunit ribosomal RNA
Source: RNAcentral
AGUGAACGCUGGCGGUAGGCCUAACACAUGCAAGUCGAACGGCAGCACAGUAAGAGCUUGCUCUUACGGGUGGCGAGUGGCGGACGGGUGAGGAAUACAUCGGAAUCUACUUUUUCGUGGGGGAUAACGUAGGGAAACUUACGCUAAUACCGCAUACGACCUACGGGUGAAAGCAGGGGAUCUUCGGACCUUGCGCGAUUGAAUGAGCCGAUGUCGGAUUAGCUAGUUGGCGGGGUAAAGGUCCACCAAGGCGACGAUCCGUAGCUGGUCUGAGAGGAUGAUCAGCCACACUGGAACUGAGACACGGUCCAGACUCCUACGGGAGGCAGCAGUGGGGAAUAUUGGACAAUGGGCGCAAGCCUGAUCCAGCCAUACCGCGUGGGUGAAGAAGGCCUUCGGGUUGUAAAGCCCUUUUGUUGGGAAAGAAAAGCAGCAGGUUAAUACCCCGCUGUCCUGACGGUACCCAAAGAAUAAGCACCGGCUAACUUCGUG